Molecule: unclassified non-coding RNA, 333 nt
Filed under: soil metagenome
Description: partial contains 5.8S ribosomal RNA, internal transcribed spacer 2, and large subunit ribosomal RNA
Rfam family: 5.8S ribosomal RNA (bases 1-120)
Source: RNAcentral
GAUGAAGAACGCAGCGAAAUGCGAUAAGUAAUGUGAAUUGCAGAAUUCAGUGAAUCAUCGAAUCUUUAAACGCACAUUGCGCCCCCCAGUAUUCUGGCGGGCAUGCCUGUUCGAGCGUCAUUUCAACCAUCAAGCCCUGCUUGUGUUGGGGUCCUGCGGCUGCCCGCAGGCCCUGAAAACCAGUGGCGGGCUCGCUAGUCACACCGAGCGCAGUAGCACAUCUCGCUCAGGGCGUGCGGCGGGCUCCAGCCGUUAAAGCACCCACCUUUCGCAAGGUUGACCUCGGAUCAGGUAGGAAUACCCGCUGAACUUAAGCAUAUCAAUAAGGGAGGA